UUUGCUUGAUUUUUGUUUUCACUCAGACUACAUGGUUGAUUCAAGAAUUGAAAUGGGCUUUCGGCAGGCACUCACCCCCCCGGGGGACCCCCCGGGCGGCAUGAGCACGACCCCAAGGCCUGCCAAAGCAACGAAUGUGGUAAGGUAAACACGGGGUGAAGAGGAGGGGCCGAAGCCCCCGGGAACGCGAACGUCCCUCUCUUUAAUGAUCCUUCCGCAGGUUCACCUACGGAAA
Molecule: unclassified non-coding RNA, 235 nt
Filed under: uncultured fungus
Lineage: Eukaryota; Fungi
Description: sequence contains ITS1
Source: RNAcentral